CGGACGGGUGAGUAAUGCGUAGGAAGCUGCCCGAUAGAGGGGGAUACCAGUUGGAAACGACUGUUAAUACCGCAUAAUGUCUACGGACCAAAGUGUGGGACCUUCGGGCCACAUGCUAUCGGAUGCGCCUACGUGGGAUUAGCUAGUUGGUGAGGUAAUGGCUCACCAAGGCGACGAUCUCUAGCUGGUUUGAGAGGAUGAUCAGCCACACUGGAACUGAGACACGGUCCAGACUCCUACGGGAGGCAGCAGUGGGGAAUAUUGGACAAUGGGCGCAAGCCUGAUCCAGCCAUGCCGCGUGUGUGAAGAAGGCCUUCGGGUUGUAAAGCACUUUCAGCGAGGAGGAAGGGUGGUGUGUUAAUAGCACAUCAUUUUGACGUUACUCGCAGAAGAAGCACCGGCUAACUCUGUGCCAGCAGCCGCGGUAAUACAGAGGGUGCAAGCGUUAAUCGGAAUUACUGGGCGUAAAGCGCACGUAGGCGGUUUUUUAAGUCAGAUGUGAAAGCCCCGGGCUCAACCUGGGAAUUGCAUUUGAAACUGGGGAACUAGAGUGUGUGAGAGGGGGGGUAGAAUUCCAAGUGUAGCGGUGAAAUGCGUAGAGAUUUGGAGGAAUACCAGUGGCGAAGGCGGCCCCCUGGCACAACACUGACGCUCAGGUGCGAAAGCGUGGGGAGCAAACAGGAUUAGAUACCCUGGUAGUCCACGCCGUAAACGAUGUCUACUAGCUGUUCGUGUCCUUGUGAUGUGAGUAGCGCAGCUAACGCACUAAGUAGACCGCCUGGGGAGUACGGUCGCAAGAUUAAAACUCAAAUGAAUUGACGGGGGCCCGCACAAGCGGUGGAGCAUGUGGUUUAAUUCGACG
This 862-nucleotide ribosomal RNA is filed under the name uncultured microorganism. RNAcentral describes it as "bacterial SSU rRNA". It matches the Rfam family "Bacterial small subunit ribosomal RNA", at positions 99 to 956 of the family's 1533-position model. The record is from RNAcentral.